GUGCCAGCAGCCGCGGUAAUACGAAGGGGGCUAGCGUUGUUCGGAUUUACUGGGCGUAAAGCGCACGUAGGCGGAUCGUUAAGUCGGGGGUGAAAUCCUGGAGCUCAACUCCAGAACUGCCUUCGAUACUGGCGAUCUUGAGUCCGGAAGAGGUGAGUGGAACUCCUAGUGUAGAGGUGGAAUUCGUAGAUAUUAGGAAGAACACCAGUGGCGAAGGCGGCUCACUGGUCCGGUACUGACGCUGAGGUGCGAAAGCGUGGGGAGCAAACAGGAUUAGAUACCCUCGUAGUCC
This 292-nucleotide ribosomal RNA is filed under the name uncultured bacterium. RNAcentral describes it as "partial 16S ribosomal RNA". It matches the Rfam family "Bacterial small subunit ribosomal RNA", at positions 505 to 796 of the family's 1533-position model. The record is from RNAcentral.